CAAAGGAAGAGAGCGGCAUGCCUUCAGUACCUAGUUGUAAACCUCAGCAAGAUUACUUAUCAUAAUUCCAAGCCUCGACCCAUCAGUAUCCGCAAUCAAAGCCCACUACUCAAUUGGCUCAUUUUUAAUCCAUUCGGAGAAGCAUUUCACAGACCUUCCCCCCUUACGCUUCCUAGUGACUCAUGCAGGCUCACCAUCAAUAGGAUCUAACUCCGCGGCUCCACUUCACGCACCACAACAGGUUUCUUAUGAACAUCCUCCAUAUGACUGGUGGUCAGCUUGUCCAGGUCUGGCCAAGUGACAUCAACGUUCCUGCUCUCCUGCAAUUUCUUCACCGCUGACAAUAUCCCCUUAUGGCGGUCAUGGAGAACACACACGUUAGGCCUAUCACAAACCACGGCUCGCUUGAUCAGUGAAUGGAACCACAACCAGCUAUCAGCGUUCUCUGAUUCGACAAAUGCAAAAGCAAGAGGCACAACCUUGCCAUCUGCGUCCACCCCAAUGCAUCAAUGCUAGGAGCUGUGGAAGGUGGUGGUGCGAAUUCUUAUACGUUCCAAGCCUCCACUCCAGCGCCUUCUGCUUCGCUCGUCAUGCCAUUUCAU
This is a long non-coding RNA of Panicum virgatum (switchgrass), 602 nucleotides long. RefSeq lists it as uncharacterized. NCBI's taxonomy places the organism in Eukaryota, Viridiplantae, Streptophyta, Magnoliopsida, Poales, Poaceae. The transcript has 3 exons. The record is from RefSeq and is a predicted model, not a curated record.